CAGUCGCCACGGUAAUACGAAGGGGGCUAGCGUUGCUCGGAAUGACUGGGCGUAAAGGGCGCGUAGGCGGCGAUCAAAGUCAGGCGUGAAAUUCCUGGGCUCAACCUGGGGGCUGCGCUUGAUACUUGGUUGCUUGAGUGGGGAAGAGGGUCGUGGAAUUCCCAGUGUAGAGGUGAAAUUCGUAGAUAUUGGGAAGAACACCGGUGGCGAAGGCGGCGACCUGGUCCUUGACUGACGCUGAGGCGCGAAAGCGUGGGGAGCAAACAGGAUUAGAUACCCCCGUAGGUCCUGUCUCUUAUAC
This 301-nucleotide ribosomal RNA is filed under the name uncultured bacterium. Its description in RNAcentral is "partial 16S ribosomal RNA". It matches the Rfam family "Bacterial small subunit ribosomal RNA", at positions 509 to 807 of the family's 1533-position model. The record is from RNAcentral.